Molecule: ribosomal RNA, 497 nt
Filed under: uncultured bacterium
Lineage: Bacteria
Description: partial 16S ribosomal RNA
Rfam family: Bacterial small subunit ribosomal RNA
Source: RNAcentral
GAUGAACGCUGGCGGCGUGCCUAAUACAUGCAAGUCGAGCGAACAGACGAGGAGCUUGCUCCUCUGACGUUAGCGGCGGACGGGUGAGUAACACGUGGAUAACCUACCUAUAAGACUGGGAUAACUUCGGGAAACCGGAGCUAAUACCGGAUAAUAUAUUGAACCGCAUGGUUCAAUAGUGAAAGACGGUUUUGCUGUCACUUAUAGAUGGAUCCGCGCCGCAUUAGCUAGUUGGUAAGGUAACAGCUUACCAAGGCAACGAUGCGUAGCCGAACUGAGAGACGGAUAGGCGGCAUGGGAGCGGGGACGCGCACCAGGGGACUGAGGGACGGAGCAGUAGGGAAUGGUAGGCAGUGGGGGAGAACCUGACGCAGUGAGGCGGAGUGUGAGAUGACAGCGCUCGGAUCGUAAUGCUGUGUUAUUGGUGAAGAACAGCUGUGUAAGUAAAUAAGGAGGUAGUGACGGUACCGGGUAAGAAGGCAACGGCUAACUACGUG